This 1435-nucleotide ribosomal RNA is filed under the name uncultured organism. RNAcentral's name for it is "16S ribosomal RNA". It matches the Rfam family "Bacterial small subunit ribosomal RNA". The record is from RNAcentral.
GAUGAACGCUAGCUACAGGCUUAACACAUGCAAGUCGAGGGGCAGCAGGAUCUAGCAAUAGAUUGCCGGCGACCGGCGCACGGGUGAGUAACACGUAUCCAACCUGCCGAUAACUCGGGGAUAGCCUUUCGAAAGAAAGAUUAAUACCCGAUGGUAUAAUCAGACCGCAUGGUUUGAUUAUUAAAGAAUUUCGGUUAUCGAUGGGGAUGCGUUCCAUUAGGCAGUUGGUGAGGUAACGGCUCACCAAACCUUCGAUGGAUAGGGGUUCUGAGAGGAAGGUCCCCCACAUUGGAACUGAGACACGGUCCAAACUCCUACGGGAGGCAGCAGUGAGGAAUAUUGGUCAAUGGGCGCAGGCCUGAACCAGCCAAGUAGCGUGAAGGAUGACUGCCCUAUGGGUUGUAAACUUCUUUUAUAUGGGAAUAAAGUUUUCCACGUGUGGAAUUUUGUAUGUACCAUAUGAAUAAGGAUCGGCUAACUCCGUGCCAGCAGCCGCGGUAAUACGGAGGAUCCGAGCGUUAUCCGGAUUUAUUGGGUUUAAAGGGAGCGUAGGUGGACAGUUAAGUCAGUUGUGAAAGUUUGCGGCUCAACCGUAAAAUUGCAGUUGAUACUGGCUGUCUUGAAUACAGUAGAGGUGGGCGGAAUUCGUGGUGUAGCGGUGAAAUGCUUAGAUAUCACGAAGAACUCCGAUUGCGAAGGCAGCUCACUGGACUGCAACUGACACUGAUGCUCGAAAGUGUGGGUAUCAAACAGGAUUAGAUACCCUGGUAGUCCACACAGUAAACGAUGAAUACUCGCUGUUUGCGAUAUACAGUAAGCGGCCAAGCGAAAGCAUUAAGUAUUCCACCUGGGGAGUACGCCGGCAACGGUGAAACUCAAAGGAAUUGACGGGGGCCCGCACAAGCGGAGGAACAUGUGGUUUAAUUCGAUGAUACGCGAGGAACCUUACCCGGGCUUAAAUUGCAUUUGAAUAAUCUGGAAACAGGUUAGCCGCAAGGCAAAUGUGAAGGUGCUGCAUGGUUGUCGUCAGCUCGUGCCGUGAGGUGUCGGCUUAAGUGCCAUAACGAGCGCAACCCUUAUCUUUAGUUACUAGCAGGUCAUGCUGAGGACUCUAGAGAGACUGCCGUCGUAAGAUGUGAGGAAGGUGGGGAUGACGUCAAAUCAGCACGGCCCUUACGUCCGGGGCUACGCACGUGUUACAAUGGGGGGUACAGAAGGCAGCUACCUGGUGACAGGAUGCUAAUCCCAAAAGCCUCUCUCAGUUCGGAUCGAAGUCUGCAACCCGACUUCGUGAAGCUGGAUUCGCUAGUAAUCGCGCAUCAGCCAUGGCGCGGUGAAUACGUUCCCGGGCCUUGUACACACCGCCCGUCAAGCCAUGAAAGCCGGGGGUACCUGAAGUACGUAACCGCAAGGAGCGUCCUAGGGUAAAACUGGU